This 339-nucleotide unclassified non-coding RNA is filed under the name soil metagenome. RNAcentral's name for it is "partial contains 5.8S ribosomal RNA, internal transcribed spacer 2, and large subunit ribosomal RNA". The stretch from base 1 to 120 matches the Rfam family "5.8S ribosomal RNA", at positions 35 to 154 of the family's 154-position model. The record is from RNAcentral.
GAUGAAGAACGCAGCGAAAUGCGAUAAGUAGUGUGAAUUGCAGAAUUCAGUGAAUCAUCGAAUCUUUGAACGCACAUUGCGCCCCUCGGUAUUCCGUGGGGCAUGCCUGUUCGAGCGUCAUUUAACCCCUCAAGCCUAGCUUGGUAUUGGGUGCUUGUCCCGCCUCUCGCGCGGCGACUCACCUCAAAGUCAUUGGCAGCCCGCAUCUCGCCGGCCGUGAGCGCAGCACAGACGCGCUCUUGGCAACGCCGGAUCGGCUCUCCAAAAGCUUAUUUCAACCACUGACCUCGGAUCAGGUAGGGAUACCCGCUGAACUUAAGCAUAUCAAUAAGCGGAGGA